RNAcentral lists this ribosomal RNA (483 nucleotides) under uncultured bacterium. RNAcentral describes it as "partial 16S ribosomal RNA". It matches the Rfam family "Bacterial small subunit ribosomal RNA", at positions 28 to 523 of the family's 1533-position model. The record is from RNAcentral.
GACGAACGCUGGCUGCGUGCUUAACACAUGCAAGUCGAACGAUGAUGCCCAGCUUGCUGGGUGGAUUAGUGGCGAACGGGUGAGUAACACGUGAGUAACCUGCCCCUGACUCUGGGAUAAGCGUUGGAAACGACGUCUAAUACUGGAUAUGACUGCCGGCCGCAUGGUCUGGUGGUGGAAAGAUUUUUUGGUUGGGGAUGGACUCGCGGCCUAUCAGCUUGUUGGUGAGGUAAUGGCUCACCAAGGCGACGACGGGUAGCCGGCCUGAGAGGGUGACCGGCCAAACUGGGACUGAGACACGGCCCAGACUCCUACGGGAGGCAGCAGUGGGGAAUAUUGCACAAUGGGCGAAAGCCUGAGGCAGCAACGCCGCGUGAGGGAUGACGGCCUUCGGGUUGUAAACCUCUUUUAGUAGGGAAGAAGCGAAAGUGACGGUACCUGCAGAAAAAGCACCGGCUAACUACGUGCCAGCCGCCGCGGUAA